RNAcentral lists this ribosomal RNA (646 nucleotides) under Candidatus Magasanikbacteria bacterium CG10_big_fil_rev_8_21_14_0_10_40_10. Its description in RNAcentral is "bacterial SSU rRNA". It matches the Rfam family "Bacterial small subunit ribosomal RNA", at positions 841 to 1520 of the family's 1533-position model. Lineage: Bacteria; Candidatus Magasanikiibacteriota. The record is from RNAcentral.
GUUGAAAAAAGCUAACGCGUUAAGUGCACCGCCUGGGGAGUACGGCCGCAAGGCUAAAACUCAAAGGAAUAGACGGGGACCCGCACAAGCGGUGGAACAUGUGGUUUAAUUCGAUAGUACGCGAGGAACCUCACCUGGGUUCAACUACUAGCUGCAAGCUUUGGGAAACCAAAGACGCCUUCGAGGGUGCUAGAUAGGUGCUGCAUGGUUGCCGUCAGCUCGUGCCGUGAGGUGUACCGUUAAGUCGGGAAACGAGCGCAACCCUCGUCUUGUGUUAAAUGUACACAAGAGACUGCCCGUGUAAACGGGAGGAAGGGGAGGACGACGUCAAAUCAGCAUGGCUCUUACGUCCAGGGCUACACACAUGUUACAAUGGCCGGUACAACGGGUUGCUAAGCCGCGAGGUGGAGCUAAUCCUAUAAAACCGGUCUCAGUUCGGAUUGAAGGCUGCAAUUCGCCUUCAUGAAGCCGGAAUCGCUAGUAAACGCGCAUCAGCCACGGCGCGUUGAAUACGUUCUCGGGUCUUGUACUCACCGCCCGUCACACCACGAAAGCUGGCAAUGCCCAAAGGCUCGCAAGGGACUAAGGCAGGGUCAGUGAUCAGGGUGAAGUCGUAACAAGGCAUCCGUAGCGGAAGCUGUGGAUG